RNAcentral lists this transfer RNA (237 nucleotides) under Candidatus Aenigmatarchaeota archaeon. RNAcentral's name for it is "tRNA-Ala". The stretch from base 1 to 61 matches the Rfam family "tRNA". Lineage: Archaea; Nanobdellati; Candidatus Aenigmatarchaeota. The record is from RNAcentral.
GGGCCUGUAGCUCAGCUGGUAGAGCGCUGCGUUUGCAACGCAGAGGCCGUGGGUGAGCCCUUUUCUUGCGAAGAAAAGGUUUCAAUCCCAAAAGAAAGCAGUUUCCGCUUUGCGGAAUAGCACCGUGAAUUUAGUGGAACGCCGAUAAGGCCUCCGUUAAGUUUACUUUUGGGGUGAAGACCUUUUUAGCCAAGUUAUCCGGAAAAGGGUUUCCACAAUCGAAUCCCACCGGGUCCA